AGUCCUGGUCUUGGAAGCCGCAGCCUUCACUUCCUCUCUAUUCUGUUCAUUUGAGUGAGGUGCUAAGUCCUGCCCACACUCAGGGUUUGGGGUUGAUUCAGGAAGAAAAAGAAAAUACAGAGCAGCGGGCAGAGGAGAUUGAAAGUCGAGUUGGCAGUGGAAGUCUAGACAAUCUUGGUCGUUUUAGAUCAAUGAGCUCCAUUCCCCCCUAUCCUGCUUCCUCGCUUGCUAGCUCCUCCCCUCCGGGCAGUGGGCGCUCCACCCCACGAAGGAUCCCUCACAGCCCAGCUCGGGAAGUGGACAGACUGGGCGUCAUGACCCUUUUGCCACCUUCCAGAGAAGAGGUACGAGAUGACAAGACAACCAUAAAGUGUGAAACCUCCCCGCCUUCCUCCCCAAGAGCCCUUCGGUUAGACCGGCUGCACAAAGGGGCGCUGCACACCGUCAGCCACGAGGACAUCAGGGACAUAAGGAACUCCACAGGCUCCCAGGACGGUCCCGUGAGCAACCCCAGCAGUAGCAACAGUAGCCAGGACUCGCUCCACAAAGCCCCAAAGAAGAAAGGAAUUAAGU
RNAcentral lists this small RNA (573 nucleotides) under Pongo abelii (Sumatran orangutan). Its description in RNAcentral is "processed transcript". The record is from RNAcentral. Lineage: Eukaryota; Metazoa; Chordata; Mammalia; Primates; Hominidae.